Molecule: ribosomal RNA, 253 nt
Filed under: uncultured bacterium
Lineage: Bacteria
Description: partial 16S ribosomal RNA
Rfam family: Bacterial small subunit ribosomal RNA
Source: RNAcentral
UACGUAGGGGGCAAGCGUUGUCCGGAUUUAUUGGGCGUAAAGAGCGUGUAGGCGGCCACACAGGUCUGCUGUGAAAACUCGAGGCUCAACCUCGAAAUGUCGGUGGAAACCGUGUGGCUAGAGUCCGGAAGAGGAGAGUGGAAUUCCCGGUGUAGCGGUGAAAUGCGCAGAUAUCGGGAAGAACACCCGUGGCGAAGGCGGCUCUCUGGGACGGUACUGACGCUGAGACGCGAAAGCGUGGGGAGCGAACAGG